AAGUCGUAACAAGGUUUCCGUAGGUGAGUGGACGAGAGUUCCCUUCGCGCCGCGCGUUUCCCCUGCUAACCUUUGUGACCUAGGUGAACCUGCGGAAGGAUCAUUAACGAGAGAGGGUCCUCCGGGGCCCGACCUUCCCACCCUGUGUGUACGUACCUCUGUUGCUUCGGCGGGCCGCUGGGAACCCCUUCACGGGGGGGAUCACCGUCGGCCUUUGCGCUCUCGAGUGCCCGUCGCAGGACCGUCACAAACUCUUUUGAAACGAGCAUGUUCUGAGUGGAUAUUAAUGCUUCAAUAAAA
This 300-nucleotide unclassified non-coding RNA is filed under the name Ascomycota sp. Its description in RNAcentral is "partial contains internal transcribed spacer 1". Lineage: Eukaryota; Fungi; Ascomycota. The record is from RNAcentral.